GAGUUUGAUCAUGGCUCAGGACGAACGCUGGCGGCGUGCUUAACACAUGCAAGUCGAGGGCACUUUGGGGGCAACUCUGGAGUGACCGGCGAACGGGUGCGUAACACGUGAGCGACCUUGCCUCGUGGUGGGGGAUAGCCGGCCCAACGGCCGGGUAAUACCGCAUAUGGUGCUGUCUCCGCAUGGAGAGAGUAGCAAAGCCCUGGAGCAAUCCAGUGGCGCCACAGGGGGGGCUCGCGGCCUAUCAGCUAGUUGGGGGGGUAAUGGCCCACCAAGGCGACGACGGGUAGCUGGUCUGAGAGGAUGGCCAGCCACAUUGGGACUGAGAGACGGCCCAGACUCCUACGGGAGGCAGCAGUGGGGAAUCUGCGCAAUGGCCGAAAGGCUGACGCAGCGACGCCGCGUGGGGGAGAAGGCCUUCGGGUGUAAACCCCUGUUGCCCGGGACGAAUGUGCGCUUCAGAGCGUAUUGACGGUACCGGGUGAGGAAGCACCGGCUAACUCCGUGCCAGCAGCCGCCG
This 520-nucleotide ribosomal RNA is filed under the name uncultured bacterium. RNAcentral's name for it is "bacterial SSU rRNA". It matches the Rfam family "Bacterial small subunit ribosomal RNA", at positions 9 to 520 of the family's 1533-position model. The record is from RNAcentral.